UGGGGGAUCGUCUAGCGGUAGGACAGCGGACUCUGACUCCGCCAGCCUAGGUUCGAAUCCUAGUCCCCCAGCCA
Molecule: transfer RNA, 74 nt
Filed under: mine drainage metagenome
Description: tRNA-Gln
Rfam family: tRNA
About the family: Transfer RNA (tRNA) molecules are approximately 80 nucleotides in length. Their secondary structure includes four short double-helical elements and three loops (D, anti-codon, and T loops).
Source: RNAcentral